CAAUAGCGUAUAUUAAAGUUGUUGCAGUUAAAAAGCUCGUAGUUGGAUUUCUGUUCUCGAGGAUCGGUCCGCCUCACGGUGAGCACUGGUUUUUCUUUGGGGACAUCCUCUCGAAGGCGGGUGGUGCACUUAAUUGUGUGCUGCUUGGAUUCGGGACCUUUACUUUGAAAAAAUUAAGAGUGUUCAAAGCAGGCGUCGGCUUGAAUACAUUAGCAUGGAAUAAUGGAAUAGGACUUUGGUUCUAUUUUGUUGGUUUCUAGGACCGAAGUAAUGAUUGAUAGGGACAGUUGGGGGCAUCAGUAUUCUGAAGCGAGAGGUGAAAUUCUUGGACCUCGAGACUAACAACUGCGAAAGACAUUUGUCCUAGGAUGUUCUCUUUAAUUCAAGAACGAAAGUU
RNAcentral lists this ribosomal RNA (397 nucleotides) under uncultured eukaryote. Its description in RNAcentral is "bacterial SSU rRNA". It matches the Rfam family "Eukaryotic small subunit ribosomal RNA", at positions 592 to 991 of the family's 1831-position model. The record is from RNAcentral.